Molecule: ribosomal RNA, 292 nt
Filed under: uncultured bacterium
Lineage: Bacteria
Description: partial 16S ribosomal RNA
Rfam family: Bacterial small subunit ribosomal RNA
Source: RNAcentral
GUGUCAGCCGCCGCGGUAAUACGGAGGGUGCAAGCGUUAUUCGGAUUUAUUGGGCGUAAAGGGCGUGUAGGCGGUUUGACAAGUCAGGUGUGAAAGCCCUUGGCUUAACCAAGGAAGUGCACUUGAAACUGUCAGACUUGAGUACGGGAGGGGGAAGUGGAAUUCCAGGUGUAGAGGUGAAAUUCGUAGAUAUCUGGAGGAAUACCGGUGGCGAAGGCGACUUCCUGGACCGAUACUGACGCUGAGACGCGAAAGCGUGGGGAGCAAACAGGAUUAGAUACCCCCGUAGUCC